Molecule: long non-coding RNA, 2091 nt
Organism: Pongo pygmaeus (Bornean orangutan)
Lineage: Eukaryota; Metazoa; Chordata; Mammalia; Primates; Hominidae
Exons: 3
Source: RefSeq, a predicted model, not a curated record
GGAGAUGACAUGAAUGAGGGACUACAUUGGAAUGAAGAAGAACCCGGAAGAGGUAAAAAAACUGAAGGCUCCGGAUGUCGGACGAUGGAAAAUAAAAACAACAAGCAAGUGAAACUCCCUGACUUAUCAACCUUACUCAAGAAUUCCUUCUUUCUCUAGAUGGGAAUUUCUGCCCUAGAGAGGUCUUGGAAACUUUCUCACCAGAAGAGCACAACUUGAUGGCAGGAAGCUCCUGAUGGAGGCCUGAAAAUGGCCCUGAAAGGGAUGCCAGGGGACCAGGGCUCCACUAUUAUCAGCGUGUGACUUUGGACAAGCGUGUUAAUGGCUCUGUGACUCAGUUACCUCUUCUGUACUUUGCUUAGGGGUCUAUUGCUUUCCAUUUUGUCUUUUUCAUUUGUUAAAUCCAAUGAUGUCACUGACAGUAAAAACUAGUAAAUAGUAAAAAAAAAAAAAAAAAAAAAAGUAAAACCAUGGCUUCUUUUUUGGAGAUGGCAUCCCCAUGCUGCCUAUCUUUUCUUACACUUACUCACAAGUAUUUUUGUUGUACUUAUAACUGAGGAAAUACCUUCCAAGGCAAAAAUGUGUGUGGAUCAGUAGAGAUAGCAGCAGCAGUAGCUGCCAAGUGCCCUGAUGGCCUGGAGUCAGAUGGCUACAUUGCACUCAGUUCUCCCAUCUUCCAUAGAUACUGGAUGUUAUCCUUCAAUGUUUGCCUUGAGCCAGAUGGAGAGGAAAGAGGCAGAGUUAACUUGUCUUUCUACUUUCAUUCUCCCAAAUACAACUGAUUUUUUACUCUACUCCUGGAUACCUUUCUUAUAUCACAACUCUGAUGGUGUAACUUUUCUCAACCAAACUUGCAGGGGACACUCUAUGAUCUCAGAAUGAAACCCCAACUGUGUUGUAUACAUUUAACAUGCAUUCUACUUUCCUUCCUUCCUUACAUUUUAGCUGCCUGGAAUUCCUUGGCUUUCAAUGUGGAAGAAAGUUUGUGGUCCUUGCCCCACCUCCCCUCCCCAAGGUUGCAAGAAGAGGGGGUUAGAAUUGUGGCUUUCUUUAAUUUGAUCCAAUGCUCCUUCCCCUGCAACUUCUGCUUCCAUACAAUUAAUAACUAUUUUCGAAUCAAUGAAAUAACAAUCAUUCUUUAAUGCCUCAGUAUAAACUAUCUUAUUAAAAGUUAUGCAGCCUGGUCCAAAAAUGGCACAGGACAGAGGAUGGGGCCAGAAUCUUUGCCAGGGCACUGCCAAGAAGGGCAUGACCAGUGGAGACACUUGAGUGGAUGGAUGCUGUGUGUCCCAGAAUAUACAUGGAGUUGAGGUACAGGCAUGGCAUUGAAUAUGAGUAGAGCAGUGCAGAAAGAAAGAAAGGAGCAAACUUUAGAAGCCUCACAAGUUUUCCUAGAGUCAUCCCUGUGAGCUUCACAAUCUAUCAGUCCUUAAGGAAUGUUUCUUUUAUGCGGAGCACUGCACACCUAAGACAUUUUUAAUGUUUUGCUCUGCUAAGUGCAGCUAUAAGAAGGAAUUUCCACGUAGAGAAACAGAAGAAUUGGAGAAAAUUCUUAGAAUUGUGCAUAUAAGGCAAUUCCGUUGCAGCAUCAUCUGCUGUGGUCCUUUGAGAAAACUAAGUGUUUAUUUCCAUGAUUUAAAAUCAAGUCAGUCUUUAUCUAGGGUUUGGGAAGGCUUACAUUGGCUCAGGACCAAAAUGAAGAUAGGACUAGAAGUUUCCCAAGAAUGUACGAAUAAAUAUAUGCGUGAGUUUCAAGUUGCACUGGCAACACUUUGGAGAAGUUAGCUCUUCAGAAUCAUGAGGAUUGUUUAAGCUGUCAUCCCAUUGGCUGGCUGUGUGGAAGUUACCCAUUGUGUGGAAGGUGACCCUGACUAGACCUUGUACAGUCCCUUAAGAUAGAUUAGUAGUGAAGUCCUCUAACAUGUUUUCUGAACCUGUCAAUGAAAGAAGAGAGAGAUGCCUACCAGUGCAGAGGAAAGGAGUGGAUAUAUCUUAAGUCUUUGUUAUUUCUGUCAUGCAGAUGACUCAGGUAUAAAAACUAGAAAUUCUUCCUAAUGUGGAUUAAGGAACUCAGGCUUCACAGUAUAAGCC